Molecule: long non-coding RNA, 2305 nt
Organism: Bacillus rossius redtenbacheri
Lineage: Eukaryota; Metazoa; Arthropoda; Insecta; Phasmatodea; Bacillidae
Exons: 2
Source: RefSeq, a predicted model, not a curated record
AAAUUGAAAAAAAUUUAUCAGUAAAAGUAAACCUUUACAAAAAUAUAACAGCACACAAUCUACCCUUAAGGAUAAAUGCUCAUUUGUAAAAUUGUACAUAUUUCGCUAUGCAUUAUCACAAAACUCACCUUUUCCCCUGAGACAUUUUGCAUGAAUCAUGCUCACAUUAAAAUUUGUAGGGAAAUAUUGGCAGUAUCAUAAACUUAGAUUAACCACUCAAUUGUUUAAUAUAGGUCUAUAUGAAAUAUAAUUAACCCUAUCACUGAUAUGGUGAAUUGCCAUUAGGUCUAUAUGCAUGAUUACACAUCCGGCAUGUACAAAAAAAAUUGUAAACAUAAGAGGUUAUUUACACAGGAGAUUAUUUAAGUGUGGGAAAAUAACAGUGUAUAUUGUAUAUGUUAAAAAUAUCUUAGUUGAUGUAAUAUAUUUUGAAAUAUCUACUGUUGUCGACAACUUUGCUUUGUUUGGGGAUGGGUUGCCCCUUCAUUAUCUCAAUGCCCUGGUGCAUUUACAUGUCUGCUAGAUUGAUUAUUACUUAUAUCUGUUUAUCAUUUGCUUGGUUUAAUUACAUUGGAUCAGCUAAAUUAAAAAUGCAUAGGUCAUACACAUUGUUAUUGGAAGGAAAAUGUCAGACUUCACUGUAGUAGAAUUAUUUAUUUGUAAAUGUUGGUUUUAUUAUACUUGAUUGCAAAACAGUAAACCCCUUUUUAAUUUUUUUGCAGGUUUAUGAACCAAAUUUUUGGUAUUAUAAGAAACUCUUUUUUCUUAUAAACCACAUUGUUCCGAGGAAGGGUGUAGAAACAAAGUUAAAAGUUGCACCUGCAUCGAGGGUGUGGGAGCCUUUAGUGGUUUAUGAUGAAGAUAGAUCAGUCGCUUUCAGAAGCACCCAAUGAAAGCCAGGAUUCAACGACAUCAAACCAGGCUAUUUCACUGUCAUGUCAGUCUCGGGCACAUAUAGCCGAGAGACAGCCCGGGCCCUCUGCAGAGCUGUGCAAGACCAUGGAACAGCCCCCCGUCACAGGACAUACAGGGACUUCAGCCUCAUUAGACAGCGUUACGUGUACACCAAAAUCACAUUAAAAACAAAAAAUUUCUACACCUUCUGAGGAUGGGUACACGGCAGUCCUCAACAGUGUUGUCGACGAACUCAAAAAGGAACCACCACGCCUCACGGUAAAUGAGCGCUUUGGCCAGUGGUUAGGUUGUGCAUUAGACAGCAUAAAAGAUCGGGGUGUCUGCAUGGCAGCCAAACAUGAUAUAAUGAAAAUAAUUAUGGGAGCUGAAUUGGAUGACUCCCAUACAUCUAAUUUGCUCAAAUGAUGUUACAUCAAGCUUAUGUGUUUUUCUUUGUAUUUGCGUACCUUUUUUCUGUAAAUUUGUACAUUGUAAAACAAAAAUGUUACUUAUUAACUUGUAAAAUAAAAAUUAUACUUUUUUCUUAUAGUAGUUACAAAUUUUAAGAGACAGGUUUCAAGUUUUUAGUUCCUGCAUUCGUAUGUGUGCAAGAUUGUAUGUAAAUAGUGUUAUUCAUACUAAAUACAAAAAAAAGAUUAUAUUUCAUUUGGGUAAUUUACCUACUUAACUGAAUAAUAAUCAUUACUGGGCAUAAAUUGAGGUGAUCAUUCAUAUAAAAAAGCAAUGGUUUUAUUUUGUAACAUAAAAAGCCAAAUACUUAAUAUAUGUAGGUUUUUGUUUAUGUUUAGAUACUAUCAAUCAUAUUCACACCACUACAUAUUUGUGCUCGUAGAAAAUUUUCUGUUUGGAGAACAUUAAACUAUCUCUGUUUACAUAAUGAAAGUAUUUUCUGUUUUGGUAUUGAAUUUUCCAGCCCAUUGUUUGGCUUUUAUAUUUCCCUCAAUAUAUGAUCAAAGAAUACAACCACUGGGGUCAAAUUGUUUAAUGUAUUAAAUUAUUUAUAUUUAUCCUUCUGCAAUCAAUAAUCCUGUUAAACAGCUAACAAAAUAAUAAGUAUGGAUACUACAAUUAUUUAUAUUUUCAAAUAAGUGUUAAAAUAUUAUAUGCUCUCAGUUACAAAACAUAUUGUUAUUAACAAAAUAAAAGCUGGAUACUUAAUCCUGCAACAUUUAAUGCCUGGCAGAUAAAUUUAAUAUAUAAAAAUCAACGCUUGUUUGUUAGUGUUUUAUGUGCUACCAUCUCUUUAAUCCGAUUGCAAUAAACAUGUGUCAACAGAAUGCUUGCAUUUGUUGAAGGUUAUAGGGACAGUACAAAUAUUACAUAUCAUAGGAUUUCAUAUAAUGUAUUCAUUAUUGACAAGAAAAUAAAUAUUUUAUCAUUCCUAGUUAAA